Molecule: ribosomal RNA, 355 nt
Filed under: uncultured bacterium
Lineage: Bacteria
Description: bacterial SSU rRNA
Rfam family: Bacterial small subunit ribosomal RNA
Source: RNAcentral
CGAGAAGACGUAGCAAUACGUUUGUAAAGCGGCGAACGGGUGCGUAACACGUGAGAAACCUAUCCCGGUCUCUGGAAUAACAAGUGGAAACACUUGCUAAUACCGGAUGCCGUCGGACCAUCGCAUGAUGGACUGACGAAAGGGCUACCGGAUCGGGAGGGUCUCGCGGCCUAUCAGCUUGUUGGUGAGGUAACGGCUCACCAAGGCAUCGACGGGUAGCUGGUCUGAGAGGAUGAUCAGCCACACUGGGACUGAGACACGGCCCAGACUCCUACGGGAGGCAGCAGUGGGGAAUCUUGCACAAUGGGCGAAAGCCUGAUGCAGCAACGCCGCGUGCGGGAAGAAGGCCCUAGGG